This is a non-coding RNA of Kogia breviceps (pygmy sperm whale), 6886 nucleotides long. The record is from RefSeq and is a predicted model, not a curated record. Lineage: Eukaryota; Metazoa; Chordata; Mammalia; Artiodactyla; Physeteridae.
ACAUAAAUUGCCUCCAUCAUCACAAAGUCAUUUCUGUCUUUUCCCAGUUUUCUACAAUGGAAAAAGAGUGUCCUUUUAAGUCUAACAGGACCUGAGUUCUAAUCCUCCCUAGCUGUAUGUUCUCAGGUAAAUUACAUUUCUGGACCUUAAUGGAUCAAGAGCCCUUGCUCUGUGCUACCAUAGCUCUCUGCUUCUCUCUGUUGUACCAUUUACUUCAUUUUCUUGUCAUUAUCUAUUUAUGCAUCCAUUUCCUCCACCAGACCACAAGCUCAAGCACAGGUAUCACAUCUGAUUCUGCUCUAUAGUUAUGGUACCUAACAGAACCUGGCACAGAAUUAGAUGCUCAACAGAUGCUUGCUGAGAAUGAAUCCUUGAAAUGGAGAAGAGAAACUCAUCAGACUAUCAAGCUAAUAGUGGAGUCCAGCACAAAGACAUUAAGGAAGUGUACUCUUCUCUGUCCCUAUCAUGCUCUCAGCACACUGUAAAAACAGGCUCCAGAUACCCUUACUUCAUCCAUAGCUUCUAUCUUAAACCAUUCCACUUCCCAGCCUGUUUUAAUCAUCCCGAUUCCUGGCACCUGGGCUUGUCUUCUCUUUACUACCUGCAAUCACCUCUUGGACUUUUACUUGAAAUGUUCAGGGCUUUGGCUCUCUAUCUUGUUUUCCCCUCUGAUUAAACAAUUUCUACUUUCUUGGCAUAUUUCUCACCCUCCUAACCCUAGAUUCUCAGGUCAAAGACUACAAAAGUUCCUGCCCUCAAGGAAUUAGUCUGGCGAACAAAAGACAAGGAAACCAGCAAUUCCAGGACAAUGUUGUAAAAGGUCUGGUUGAAGUUUGUGCAGGGUACUGUGGGAGCAGAGAUAGAAUGAAGAGCACCUAAUCUUACAGAGAAGGGUAGCUGUCAGAAGGAAGUAUAGUUUGAUCUGGGUCUUAAGAAAUUGCUUAAGAAAUUCCCAGGCAGGGAAAAGGGAGGACAUGCAUAGCAGACUGAGACCAGCAUUGUAUAGGUGUGAAGACAGGAGAGAUCAAGUUCUGCGGGGGCUGCAGGCGGGUUGGUGUGGUGGGAAGGGCUUGGAAGCACAGUUGGGAAGUGGAGGAAAAUGAGCCAGUGUUUUAAAAUUCGGAGAUUUCACAUAAAAUCCUGGAUUUCCAGCUCUGUUGAAAAAUCAGAAGAUCUGGCCACACCAGGCUCUCAUUCUCACAUUAGCUGAGUAUUGUUUGUCCUUCUUAGAUGCCAGAGGUGUUUUAUAACUUGCAAGUCUCCACCACACCCUUUAUCAUCACACUUGCACUCUUGUUUUUCUUUAAGGGAAGAAAUAUUUCUUAGCACCCAUGUCUCUGUGAAAAGUGGGUAAAUGGAGGUUAGAUCACAAGGGCCAGGCAAUCAAAAAAACAAAACAAAAAACCGAGGAAUAGCAUGUUUCUUUGUGGACAUGAAAUGUGUAUCUGUUGGAGAACUGCAACUUUCUCUUAAACCCAGGUCCCUCACUCAUUUAUGUUACCUGCAGGGUUUGCUAUAUAAGGAGCGAUGACUUCAUGGGGCUGCCUUACUUUUCAUAAAACUUUGCAAUGUUCACAGGCCAUCAAGAAGGAAUGUGGGGCUUUCCUGGUGGCACAGUGGUUGAGAAUCUGCCUGCCAAUGCAGGGGACACGGGUUCGAGCCCUGGUCUGGGGAGAUCCCACGUGCCGCGGAGCAACUGGGCCCAUGAGCCACAGCUACUGAGCCUGCGCGUCUGGAGCCUGUGCUCCGCAACAAGAGAGACCGCAACAGUGAGAGGCCUGCGCACCACCAUGAAGAGUGGCCCCCGCUCACCGCAACUAGAGAAAGCCCUCACACAGAAAUGAAGACCCAACACAGCCAAAAAAAUACAUAAAUUUAAAAAAAAAAAAAAAAAAAAAAGAAUGUGCCAGGAGUGCUAGUCUUAAAGAAGGGUAGGAGACGUGUAUGUCUGGCCAGAGCCUGUCAAAGAGAAGCCAGCACUGACUUUCAGAGCCUCAAAUAGGUGAUGAAUCAAGUAGGAAGAAAUUGAGAGGGCUCAGAAAAGGGCUUGUCCAUGGCCCAGAGGCAGCUAAUGGCAGCAGGGGUUCUCUGCAGCUGGUGACAGCGUGGAGGAAAUGCUGUGCAACCCCUGCUUCCAGAUCCAGAGCCAGAAGACCAAGCUGCUCCCAGUAAUCAUGAAGAACUGGCCCAGCUUCUCAGUAAGAGGGUUACUGGAUCCUUCAGAAACCCCCCUAGUCCUCACAUCCUGGGACUGAUGGCCCUGCACUUCCAAGUACUAUCUAAGGCCUCCAGCUUUCCCAGAGCCUGGAACUCCUCCUCUGAGCUCCUCACAGCUGGCUGAGAGGCUGCCUUGAGCUCCUUUGAGGCCUCCUGUCUUCAGUGAUAAUUCUCUGCAGCUUGGCUCUGGCAGUCUUACCUCCUCUCCGUGUGUAACUGAUCCUGGUCCUCUGGCUCUGUCAGCGCCUCUGCUGAGUGCACCGUGAUGUGUGUGAGCCUUGAGCUGGGCGGGAACCCUCAGAGCGAAGUGAGAUUAUUCCAGGAAUCCUGAUGAGAGGUGAUGGUCAUUGGUGAUGGCAAUGAGAGAGAUAAGUGGAUGCAAAAUUAUAAUUAGGAUAUGAAUUAGCAUAACUUGGUAAUUGCCUGGUGCAAAGAGUGAGAGGGGGGAGAAGGAGGAGACUCACAGAUUUGGGCGUGUAAACUGGGAUUAGAGGAUGACGGUUUCUUGGUGAGCACUUGGAUGCCAAGGGUCCCCCUAAUCACCACAUAAGGCAAGAGUGACUAACUCCGCUUAGGAGGAUUGGAGCUAGUUCUCAAAGAAGGGGUAUUUGAGCUGGGUCUUAAAGAUAGUACAGAAGUUCCCAGUUCCACAAAAGAUGAGCUCUGUGGUGAGAGGGUAUGUUAAGGGAAGGAUUUUCUCAGGCAAGGGUGAUGGGAAAUAAUAGGAAGUACAAAGACACAAAAGCAUGUAAGCAUUAUUUUGGAGGGAAGAUAUUGAGUUGUCCUGCAGUGUGGGAGGCGAGAAAGAAAGAUGUUGGGGAAGAAAAUGGUGAAAAAUAAGCAGGAACGAGAGUCUGUGGCCAGAAUCCAAGAGCCUGUAAUGUAGUCCAAGUGGUCCUCUCUCUAGCUGGUGGCGGAAUAACAGGUACAAACCUUCUGGAGAAUCAACUUGGAAAUAAUACAUCAGAAGCUGUUCAAAUGUUUCUAACCUCUGUUCUAGUGAUCCUUUUCCUGGGGAUUGUUCUUAAGGAAUACUUUUUUUAAAGGAUGGAGUUAGCAAUAUACAUUAAGAUAUUUAUUACAUCAGUAUUGGAAACAGUAAAAAAUUGGAAAACAACCAACAUUUCCAUCAGAGGAGAAUACCUAAGUAAAAGAUGGCACAUUCAUCCAAUGAAUAAUAAAUGCACAGACUGGCGUGCUUGUCAGAAUUUAGGUGAACUCACCCAGGAGGCCUGCUGGGCUCAGGCGCGAGGAGAAGGUCCAAUGUGGGCAGGAGAAGAAGGGUGGAAGCAGAGUGGACCCAAGGCCAGUCCCAGCAAGGGCACAGGCAGGGCAGCCACCAUUAUGGGGCAUUUGCCUUUCGGUAUCUCAUUUAAUCCUCACAGCAAUAGCAAUCUUAUGAGGGUGGUAAUAAUACCAACCCGAUUGUACAGACAAAGACCUGAGGCUCAAAGGAAUGGAGCGAUCUGCCCAGGGCUAUCUAGCUUCGACGUAGAUUCUAACCCAAGUCUAUGUGAUGGAAGAGCAAUCAGUGUUUUCCUCUGCACCAUGAUGGCAAGUGUCAACAACCACGACGUUAUCUAUGGGGCAUCCCUUUUUACAUGGCCCUGGCAUCUUUCUUCAGUCUUGAGGUAACAGGGCCAAGACUGUGUGGACACCAGAGAUUGGCACUCAGGCCUUUGGCAGGCGCCUCACUUUUGCUGACUCUUGGCUUCCAUGUCUAUAAAAUGAGGAGGCUGAGCUAGAAGUUUAAGUCGGGUCACAUUCCCACGAGUGCCCAGCACAGAGCCUGGCCCACAGUUUCCAUCACCCUCCCUGUGGACAACUCUCAGCUCCAACACUAGAGGCCUCCAGGACUCCAGCUGACAUGAUGGAGUGUGUACCCUGCACGUUGCAGCCUCUUCCCAGGCUGGCUUUGGAAACCGAGCCUCCUCCAGACAGCAGGACUGCUCCACUCACGCAGAUCAAGUUGGGAGCAUCAUUAGUCAUGUCAGAUGACAUAGUUAACACUUGGGGCUGGCACAACCAGUUCAUCAAAAGCUCCUAUGUGUCUGGCUCCAUCACUGCAGCUGCGGAACUACUGUAUGUGGAGCAGGCAGCACAUCAGAGAAGCAGUGCCAGAGAGCUUCCAAACUGGUUUUGAUUAAUUGCAUGGACAUGUCUUUAAUUGGUGCCAGGGUAGCAGCCAGAGAACUUAUGGGAAAGCAGGAUGUUAUGCUUUCAUUCCCUGAAGUCUCAUAAAGCAAUGAAAGAUGAGGAACAGGAUCACUGCUCGUUGAAAAUUUAUUGACCGUGCAGACCCAGAAAACAAAAGUUAACUAUCUGAAUUGAAACCUAACCUCAUUUUCCCAACUCAUUGGAAGCCUUGCAUGUUCCCCUUUGUGCCCCUGGCUCCUGCUGAGAUGUACAACUGAGUGAAAGGUGUGAUUUCUAAGGAAUGAGUGCUAUAGCAUGGAGAUGGCACCCUCAGCUUUCCCAGAUGGGUGCAGAGGUAUCUGGGAAGGUCCCUCCCCUCAGAAACAUCUCUUCCUCCAGCACACCACCAUCCUAUGAACUGAUAUCAGUCAUUGAUCCGCUUUGGGUGAAGUAUUCAUUUACACAUUCAUUCUUUCUUUUCCAUCCUUAGAGAUUUGUGUUGAGUGUGUCCUAAAUACAUAGCACUGUUCUGGUGUCAUGGAGAAUACAGAAUGGAAUGGUGUCGAAUACAGAUCCUUCCCUUAGGGAAAAGGUUAUCUAGGAGAAAGGAGAGGAUGGAUACACAAAUGAACUAAUGCAUGAUGGGUGCAUCACAGAAAAUGAAGCAUUGAGAUUUGCCAUCAAGAGGACUUGGGUUCAAAUCUUAGCCCUGAUUCUUAUUUCUGAGUCACCACGGAAGUCACUCUGAUCCUCUGAGUUUUAACUACAGGAUAGGAUAAUAACACUGCACCUGGCUGCCAUGAGGCUUAUAAGAGGUAGCAGAGUUGAAAGAACACAGUGCAGGACCUAACCGAUCAGUAAAGGGUUGCUAAUUCUGAAUAAGCGGCACCAGGGAGGUUCUGAGAAAGUGCUAUGUGAGAGUUCAUGUAUUCAAGGAACAAAUGUUUACCAAUUACAGACUUGGUGCCAGGCUCUGUGAUGGGCAUUAGGGAUUUAGACAGGAAGCUCUGCCAUUGACAAGACUGAGAUCCACUAGGGAGUAGCAAUGCUAUAGUAUGGUAAGAAUGGCAAGUCGUUACAUGUGUGCUGACAGGAGUCUGCUCUGAGCCAGUGGGGAGGAAAGGAGGGAGUGGUCACUUUUACCCAGGGAAAAUAAAUAGGAUAGAUUUGCCUGAAGAGGCGAUGCUUGAUCUAAGUCCUAAAAAAUGAGAAGAUUUUUGUUUGUAGAUAAAGCACAAAAGGGUAUUCCAUGCGCAAUACCACAGUGUUCUUUUUGUUUCUAGAACAAGCAACGGUUAUCCCCUGAGAUUUUGGAAUUAGCUGCUUUCUUUGUAUGGAAAGUUCUUCCCCUAAAUUUCCCCAAAGGGGACUUCUUGACAUUUAUAACCUGGUAUUUUCUUAUUCAUUCCUUUGUUUAUUUUAUGACUCUCUGACUAGAAUGACAGGUCCAAGAGAAAACAAGAUCUAGGCUGUCUUUCCCUCCACUCUAUCACAAUGUCUAGAACACUGCCUAGCAUAGUGUAGGUGUUCAAUACAUGUUUGUUGCCUGAAUAAAUAAAUAAUAAACAACAGGAGGCACAGGAGGGCCUACUGCAAACAAAGAACCAUUAGCACACUGCCUGGUGCACAGCAGGCAUUGAAUUAUUUUCUCAUAAAAUUGAACAACAAGGAAUAACUAAAGCAUAGGCUGGAGGAAUUGAGGUGGGAAAUAAAAGAAGAGGUGGCCUCUGAGCUGCUCCCUGAAGGCCAAGAAGGAUGGCAAUGUGAUGGGGAUGUUGGGAGGGGAUCCGGAGGACUAAGUAAGAUAACUUUUAAAUCUCUUCCAACCUUGAGCUUCUAAGACUUUCUCCCAAACAAAUCAUCUCUUGCCAAUCUUCCGGGUCUCCUCACUCACACUCCUCCUUUCUACUCCACUCUGUCUGGAGGCUGUAAGGACAUCUGACACACCAUUUCCUGCCAGUGUAAAUCAUGGACUGAUACGUGAUGCUUGUUCUCAGUUUUUACCAUCCCCCAGGUGGAGAUGACCCUAUAACUCAGGGUGGAGGCCCCAAGCAAAGGCAGCCUUUCCACAGGAUGGCAAAUAAGGGAGAACUUGUUUACCCACCAGCACCUUCCUGGCCCUGCUCCCAGGUAAUUUUAUGUCCUCUGGUCCUGGAUCUGCUCCUUAGUUGGAUGCACCUCAGUUCACUUGCUGGAGCACUGAUGUGUGACUGUUUAACUGCCGCUGCUUCCUGUCCCAGGGAUCCUGGGCCUCAGGGAGCACAGGAAAGAGACAAGAAAGAGAGCUUUCUAUGAGGUAAGCUUUGACAGUCAUAAUAAAGGCCAAAAACUAACACUCAUAUAUAGUGCUUAACAAUUUACAAAGCCCUAGAGAACUCCUGUUCAUCCUUCAAGACCCUGCACAAAUGUUACCUCUUUUCACCCAACUUCAACUCCAGGUAGAGCUAAUCCUUCCCUCCAUUAUAGCCCUUAUUACCUUGUAAUGAAUUUAUUUGCAUAUGUGUCUCAUUUCCUUCAUCAGACCAUCAGCACC